UGAGAAGAUCUGCUCUUAGUAGAGCCCUGCUUUCCCGCUGAAGGCCCUGAAAUCACCUGUGUUCCAGGCCACCCACUAAGGAUAAACAAAGCUUCCCUGAUAUGGGGAAUUAGCUCAAGUGGUAGAGCGCUUGCUUAGCAUGCAAGAGGUAGUGGGAUCAAUGCCCACAUUCUCCAAGCUUUAUUAUUUAGGUACCCAAACCCGAGUCAGUGUCUGAGAGCAAGACACUGCUCUCGGUGUCUUUGGUUCAAGACAUAGGAGCAGCAACAAUACAGGACUGGUGACAGCUUCCUGCUGGCAUUCAGUAUAGUGUAGAUCUACUGUGUAAUUAAUUUUCUGUUUCUUCGAGGAGCUGUGAAACCAAAGGACAUAUAAAACUGCUCUUUUCUCCCUGUUUCUGCCUGCAGCUUGGUCCUAAAUGUGAGACAAUUGUGAAAAGUGGAGGACAGAGCCACCUGGUUAAAUACAGCCCCAGCUUUCUGGUGAGAGGACUGAAACCAAGAUGUGUCAAGUAACUAGAAUGUGCCUGGACAGAUACUGUAGAAAGCAAAACCAUAAAGUUGUUCAUGAGCUUGUGGACGCACCUGCCAGCUGUGAAUAAGUGGCUCUAAUCCCGAACAACUUACCUAAAAAGAGCCUGAGAGCUGAACUGUGCAAUGGCCCACUUUCCAGUCCUCACUGACCACUGGGUUGCACACACUUUGGAGAUCUCUGAACAGCAGUGUCAAGGCUUUCAAAUAGAGUUAUCUUUGAAACGACAACACAUGAAAGUCUGGUUGGUACUUGGAGCUUAAAUACAAGGCAAUUGUGUGCCUGCAAAAACAAAAAUAGCAAUAUUAUCCUUAAGAUUUCAACAAGACACAGUGUCUCAUCACAUAAUCCAAAGAAGUCCAGGUUACAAGCCCCACAAUAUUCAGCAUUAUGAAAAAACAGGGAGAUCUUAAUUCACAUGGCAAAGAGAAUCCUCGAAUAACAAUAUUGAGAGGACACAGAUGUCAAAAUCAUCUGACACAUACAUUAAAGCAGAUAUUAUAACAAUGCUCCUAGAAUCGGGGAUAACAUUCGUGAAGUGAAUGGAAAGUUGGAAAGUCUCACCAAAUAUUUCGAAUACAUAAACACCAAUUUAAACUUAAGAAUUAAAAAAAUGUAUUAACCAAAACUCUUAGGGGAAAUAAAAAGCUUAAUUGGAGGAUCUCCAUAAUCGAAUGCAGAAGACUAAGGAAAAAGUCAAUGAACUUGAAAACAGAACACGAAUACCUACAUAAUCUGAACUAUAGAGAGAAAGGAGGAUUUUAUUGUCUCUGAACAGAGGCUCAGGCACAAAUAAAAAAUAACAAAUCCAACAUUCACAUUAUUGUAAUCUGGAAAGAAGAGGACAAAGUGGUCUUUGUGGGAUAAAACUUUGAACAAUUAAUAGCUGAAAAUGGUUCAAAUUUGUCAAAAGAUAUAAACCAGAUUUUUAAAGUUCAGUAAAUGUCAAUCAGGAUAAACCCAAAGAAACCCAUAGCAAGGCAUAUCAUAAUCAAACUGCUGAAAACUAAGAAAAUACAAAACAAUUUUGAAAGCAGCCAAAGGGAAAUGAAAGAGAAACUACCAAAUGAAUGAUUGUAGAUUUCGCAUCAGGAACCAUAGGGGCCAGAAAAAAUGUCAUAACAUUCGGUAAGUAACAAAAGAAAAAGACAUAUCGACCCAGAAUGCUAUGUGGAGCAAAAGUAUCUUCCAGACAUAAAGGCAAAUAAAUGCAUUCUCAGUGGAAGGUAAGUAAAUACAUUCUCAUUCUUAGGAAGACUGCUGGAAAAGAAUUAGCAAAGAUUUGAGAUAAGAAAAAUGAUACCAGAAGGAAACUUAGAACAUCAUCAGUGAAGGAACAAAAGCAGAAAUAGAACAUGUCUGGGUAGACAUAACAGACUAUUAUUCUUCCCUUGAGUUCCUUAAGUAAAAAUACAAAAAUUAGCUGGGCGUGGUUGCAAGCACCUGUAGUCCCAGCUACUCAGGAGGCUGAGACAGGAGAAUUACUUGAACCUGGGAGACAGAGGUUGCCGUGAGCCAAGAUCUCACCAGUGCAGUACAGCGUGGGUGACAGAGCAAGUAAGUAAAGAGGAGGUUUGGAAUUAGAUAUUUGGUGUAUGAAUGAAUGGGCUAAAGUGCAAAAGAACAGGCAGAAUAACUGAGCUGGUACAGAGGAAAAAAAUCACACUUAAAAUCUAAAAGUAUCUGCUUCUCAAUUUGGGCUUUCCCACUUAGCAGCUUUGACACCUUAGAAAGAACACUUAACUUACCUGAGCUUCUAUUACUUCUAAAAAGUGCAUAAAGUGCAGGCUAAGACAUAGUUUUUUUGGCAAAAUUCAGUCAGACUACAUCAAGUAAACUCCCUAAGUCUCCUAGUAUAAUUCAUGGCACAAAAACUGGGGAAAAAACAGGGAGGAUAUGUUUAUAAGUUCAGUUUGGGUUUUUUGUUGAGUGAAUGUCUCCAGUCAUAGAGAUGCAAGUGUAGAUACACCGUAAGAGUAGUAUGAACAGGAGACACCUUGGAAGGCUAUUUCUUCCUUCAUUCAUUCAGUUGGUCACUCAAUGAACUAUCAUGAAUUGAGCACUACCUCUGUUUCUUAUCAACAAAGGAGACUACGGAAAAGAAGAGUGACUAAGAUCUCUGAAGAAGGGAAAAGCUAGAUGACUGGGCCACAAGAGGAAAAAAAGCAGCAAGACAGGAGAUUUGUUGGUGCCAACUAAAUGAGCCCAACAGCCAGUGACAACAGAACUGCACUAAAAAAAGUCCCUCAUCAGCUCUUGAGAGCAGGUUCCUUAAAGCUAGGCUCAAGACUUCCCAGUGUCUUUGUCUCCUCUCCCUCAAAUCUCUCCACCCAAUGUCUUGACAAAUACUGUAGAUCCUUCCUGCACAGCAUCACCAGAAUGUUUUUCUUUCUUUUCAUUCACCUCUGUCAUCAUCCAUGCUAUGGUGUUUAUGGAGGAUGUAUUCUGCAGCAGGAAGUGUGAUGGGCACUGACGCUGCAGAAAGACUCCUGUUGUCCACCUCGGGAGCUGACACGAUAAAUGCGGGUAAAUCUCAAUCCUUUAAUAUCUUUAUGACUUCUUUCUCUUUCUCUUCAAUUCUUGAAUGUGAGGCAACUGUGAAAAGUGCAGGGCAGAGCCACCUGGGUAAAUACAGCCCUGGCUUUCUGGUGAGAGGACUGAAACCAGGAUGUGUCAAGUAACUAGAAUGUGCCUGGACAGAUACUGUAGAAAGCAAACCCAUAAAGUUGUUCAUGAGCUUGUGGACGCACCUGCCAGCUGUGAAUAAGUGGGUCUAAUCCCAAACAACUUACCUAAAAAGAGCCUGAGGACUGAACUAAACAAUGGUCCACUUUCCAGUCCUCACUGACCACUGGUUGCACACACUGAAAUAGAAAAUGUCUGGGUAGACAUAACAGACUAUUAUUCUUCUCUUGAGUUCCUUAAGAAAAAUUAACCAAGCGUGGUGGCAGGCACCUGUAGUCCCAGCUACUCUGGAGGCUGAGACAGGAGAAUUACUAGAACCCGGGAGGCAGAGGUUGCAGUGAGCCAAGAUCUUACCAUUGCACUGCAGCCUGGGCGACAGAGUGACACUCUGUCGAAAAAAAAAAAAAAAAAAAAGUUAAGCCCAAAAAGUAAGUAAGGAAGAGGUUUGGAAUUAGAUAUUUGUUGUAUGAAUGAGUGAGCUAAAGUGCAAAAGAACGGGCAGAAUAACUGAGCUGGUACAGAGGGAAAAAAUCACAUUUAAAAUCUAAAAAUAUCUGCUUCUUAGUUCAGGCUUUCCCACUUAGCAGCUUUGGCACCUUAGGAACACUUAACUUAUCUGAGCCUCUAUUACUUCUAAAAAGUGCAUAAAGUGCAGACUAAGACAGUUUUUUUGGCAAAAUUCAGUCAGACUACAUCAAGUAAACUCCCUAAGUCUCCUAGUAUAAUUCAUGGCACAAAAAAUUGGGGAAAAAACAGGGAGGAUAUGAUUAUAAGUUCAGUUUAUGUUUUUUGUUGAGUGAAUGUCUCCAGUCAUAGAGAUGCAAGUGUAGAUACACAGUAAGAGUAGUAUGAAUGGGAGACACCUUGGAAGGCUAUUUCUUCCUUCCUUCAUUCAGUUGGUCACUCAGUGAACUAUCAUGAAUUGAGCACCGCCUCUGUUUCUUAUCAACAAAGGAGACUGCGGAAAAGAAGAGUGACUAAGAUCUCUGAAGAAGGGAAAAGCUAGAUGACUGGGCCACAAGAGGAAAAAAAGCAGCAAGACAGUUACAAUUGUUUCUGGUCCCACUUUUAUAAACACACACACACACACACACACACACACACACACACACAAAAUCAUUUAAUCAUUUUUAAGUAUUUAAUCAUUUUUUAAAAAUCUGUGAUGCUUUACCUGGGCAUGUCUAGGCAGGUCCUCCUUUGCUAGGACGUGCCCUUUUCUGUCCCGGAAUACUCUAAACUUGGCAUUUUGGCAGCGUGAAGUUUUCCCGUUGUGACUUUCUCCUUGUUCCCUUUUCUCCUCCUUCUUUGCAGACAAUGAGUAGCCACUGCUGUUUGCCCUGGCCCAUCAAUGAGAAGAUCUGCUCUUAGAGCCCUGCUUUCCUGCUGAAGGCCCUGAAAUCACCUGUGUUCCAGGCCACCUGCUAACAAUAAAUAAUGCUGCCCUGAUGUGGGGAAUUAGCUCAAGUGGUAGAGCGCUUGCUUAGCACGCAAGAGGUAGUGGGAUCGAUGCCCACAUUCUCCAAGCUUUAUUAUUUAGACAUCGUGUCUCCAAACACUCAGGUCUCCAAACCCAAGUUAGUGUCUGAGAACAGGAUGCUGCUUUGGUUCAAGACGUAGGAGCAGCAAUAAUAGAGGGCUGGUGAUGGCUCCCUCUUGGCAUUCAGUAUAGUGUAGAUCUACCAUGUAAUUAAUUCUCUGUUUCUUUGAGGAGCUGUGAAACCAAGGGACAUAUACAACUGCUCUUUUCUCCCUGUUUCUACCUGCAGCUUUGUCCUAAAUGUGAGACAAUUAUGAAAAGUGCAGCGCAGAGCCACUUGGGUAAAUACAGCCCCGGCUUUCUGCUCAGGGGACAGAGUUUGAGGCACUGCAGAGGAACCGGCCAAAGUAUGAGACCCAUAUAUUGAGAGUAACAGAGUGUAAAGUUCAAAAAAAUCAAAAUAUUUAAAGAUUUAUCAUGGGUCUUGAUGACAUGAUGGAAUCUCUCUACUCUCUGGACUUAUUAUGUGUGGUAAUAAAUUUACUUUUUAA
This 5244-nucleotide long non-coding RNA is filed under the name Homo sapiens (human). RNAcentral's name for it is "non-protein coding lnc-ABT1-3:11". The stretch from base 4666 to 4738 matches the Rfam family "tRNA". The record is from RNAcentral. Lineage: Eukaryota; Metazoa; Chordata; Mammalia; Primates; Hominidae.